Molecule: long non-coding RNA, 611 nt
Organism: Homo sapiens (human)
Lineage: Eukaryota; Metazoa; Chordata; Mammalia; Primates; Hominidae
Source: Ensembl
GGCAGAGCCAAAACCGUAACAGCCAGAGCUAGAGACUCCGGCCUGGGGUUCUGGCUCUGUCCCGUAUCAGCUAGGAAACCCAGGGCAAGCUACUUAAACUCUCAGAGGCUCAGCUUUUUCAUGAGCAAACAGGAAAACAGGGCUAAUGAUUAGUCCUUGGCUUAAAAUACAUACCGCGUGUGAAAUUGCAGGUAUAUAAUAGAUUCACUAAAUGAGAGAAGCCAAAUAUGGUGAUAGAGACUCUCAUCAAGGACACUGAGUAAACCAGAAACCUGCUUGGGCUCACGUUCCUUGUCUCUUCUUCUCAGAUCCAGGAAAGGAGCUGUCCAGGACAAUGAGGAUAGGCUGAGGAAAGACAGGCCACGGCCUUGCCUCUGUGCCAGCUCUCAUGGGCCAGGCAGAGUAUCCCAGGACAACUGCCUCCACAACCAGCUCCAUCCUUCAUCAGCAAUUCAGUACCUGAUUAACAAAUCUGUACCCCAGGAGGUUAUGCCAAGUCCAACUUCUUCCAGAGACCACAACAAUAAAUCCAAGCCACUGCUAAUGUCAUUUAUAAGCUGUGGGAUUAAAACAGAGAAGCAAUCAAUUAAUUAAAAUUAGCUCUUUAUUGA